CAUCCCUGGCUUCUCAGAGUUUUGACGGUGCCGUAUCGUCCGUGUGGGGCCGCCACCGCCCACCCUCUUUUUUUCUGCGCUAUCAUCUCAAGUCUCAACUCGGCCUGAUCCAUCCGUCACCGCGAUUGAAAGGGAGAAGAGAGGGCCGGAGCUGGAGUAUUGCCGUCCACCUCGCCGGAGCCGGCGACGCCGUGGCUCUCCAUGGCGGACAAAGGGACGGCGAACGAGCCACCGGCGAGCUAAAUACUUAGGGUGGGUGGGGGUGCAGGGUUCGCCGCCGCCGGAGAUGAACGGGUCGCAGCGGACCUUAGAGGGACGCCGGGGGCUGUGGAGGACCGGCGGAGGUGGAGCUUUGGGGAGUGCAAGGCGGGGGCGGUGGUGGUAAGUUCUUCUUAUUCCUCUUCCCUUUCCUCUUCUUUCUAAGACGCCCCUGCAGGCUAGGAUUCCCGGCGGGCGGCGGCCGCCCCUACUACUCUCGCCCUCGCCACCAUCCACCAAUGGAGUCAACCAUGGGGAAUGCCCAGUUGCCCACGUAGUGGGAGCGACAGGUUGUCUGGCACCGGCGUGAUUACCAGGGAGAGUGGUGGUAGCGGCAUGGAGUUGGUGCCGUGGGGGAUCUGCUGCGUGAAGGCUAUUGAGGGGACGGGCUGGGGAGCAAGGUGCGCACACACAAGGACGUCGGCCCUGUGGAUCAACAUGGUGCGCAUGAGCGAUGAUGCUUCCUCGGUCCCUCCACCAUGUCAAGGAGGCCUACAGGUGCGGCUUCUGUACCAGUAAAUUCCACCCCCUUCGUCAAUUCUGCAGUAAUCCACCCAUCCUCUUAUCUCUUUCCUCCUUCCAAGUUCCAUCCCUUGGUUUAGGGCUUUAGGCUGUCGCAAGGUGAACACUAGAUUUGUCCAAUAUGGUACUAGGCUUUUUGUCCAUGAAUAAUAUAUUUUUGCUGAUAUGCAACCACUUAUUUAGAUUCUUGCUGAAUUUUCCAGGGAUCUAGAUAUUAUAGUGAUGCUAAGUGCUAUAAAAAGGGUAAAAGAUUUCUUGAAAGAGAUGGCAAAGUCGAAUUAAAAAUUGGAAUAAUAGAGCUUAGUUAAUUAAAAUAUGCUAUUAUAUGAUACACCAAAUGGUGUGUAACUUCCAGCAAAUUAGUUCAGGGCUGAUACAAAAAUAGCUUUGCUAAUUUUCUAUUGUCAGCAUCUCAGAUACUAAGGUUUUAUUGUCGUUUCAUUCCACUUGGUUUCACUAUAUGCAGUAGUUGCAAAUUUAUAUACUGUCACAUUACCAAUUAGUCCACAUCGUUUGUUGGUACUGAACAAUUCUUGGCUAUGGGGUGUGUCUCCUACCUAAUUUCCUUUCUUAUUUGAGAAUAUAGUCUUGCUGCAAAUUCAUUCAGUUCUUCUGCAUUUUGUCUCAAAAAUAUACAACCACAUAUUGUGGAUGAAUCAACUCUUGGUGCAAAUACGUAUUAUGAAUUAAAAAAAGUUUCCCUUACUGUGAUACCAACAUCAAUAUUGACACUAGGGUUUGAGGGCCAUGAUGGCCAUUUAUGCAACCGGAUGAGUUUCCUUUGCCGAUGAUAAAAACAUGGACAUGGACUCUAGGUGUUAAGGCCACCAUGGCCACUGAUGUGUGUGUGGCUACAACAUAAAGUGUAUGUGUUUUUAAUCAAAUCAUUUAUAUCUUGGUUGGAGUUCUGAUUUGUCUAGGUGAGAUUCCUUUCCUUCUACAAACCCCAUCAAGGUUUAUUUUACGUAUUUUUAAUGUCACUGAUUAUCUUAUCCGUGCCAUUUUUGCUCCUCAUUCAGCAAAAUCCAUAGAUGCAGAAGCUGCUUAGUAAUGUAUUCAGAAGGUUUUUGUUAGUUCAGUACUUGCAAAAGGUUGCUCCAUUUUGUGUGUAAGGUUGAUGCUUUCAUCGUAUUUUCAGAAAUAUAAUUUCCUUUUUAUGAUAUCUUCUAUACCUUCAUAUUAUGUCUUUGGCACAACCUGCUCACAACUCAUGAUGUUAAAGAAUAAACUUUAGCUGGACUUGAAGGAAACAUGUCAAUCCUUCCUAAUUCAAUCUCUUAUUGUCUUGGAGUAUCUACUUCGAAAUGAAUAUGCAUGGUACAUAUCUCUGUUAAAGACAAAGAGAAAUAUCUCAUAAGAAGAUCAGUACUUCUGGAAAGUUGAGCUCACUUCUUUUUGUUGUUUUUUGUAUAUCUCAUAAGAAAAUCUUAUAAAAAAAAUCUUAGAUCCAGAUGUUGUGAACUGGCCAUGUUAAUGUUACAGAACAUGAUACGAGCUCACUGGAGCAAAAAAAAAUCAAUUUUACUACAAUUUUGCAUGCCAUAGCAUCAACACAGGUUUUGUCGGAAUGAAUUUAAUUAUGUCCUAAUUAUUAAUGUUUACAUUUAGAUGUGUAUCUUACUUUAUUUAGGAUAUGUGUUAUCGAAGGCCAAAUGCACGCAGAGAUAUUGUAUAACACUCUAAAGUUUGAUGUUCUAUAGUGGAUUCUUUUUCACAAAAUAAAAUUUAUGUUUGUACCUUUCACAUGUACCCGUCAUUCUGAAGUUUGAGGUUCCAAAAGGAUUUCUUUUUGACAAAACUUGGUGUAUAUAUGUAUCUCUGAUAUAUUCAUCGGUAUGUUUUUUGAUUUUACUUCUGCUUUGUCAAGGUCAUAAAUAUGUUGAGGCUACGAAUAUUCAGCUAGGAAGAUGGAGUACAAGAGGAGCAACGCGAGAUGGCUUGUGCAACAUGCAUGAACAGAGCUGCCGCUCCAAACAGAGGUGUACUUCUAUCUCCCUGUCAUUUUUAUGUGCCUGGAUUUACAGAAGCUUCAGAGAGCACUGGGCAAUGGAUUGAAUCCUCUCUACAUACUUGACUUGCUACACUCAGGUCUGUGUCACUGGUUGUACAUGUUCGCUUCCACCAUGUGGGUGGCCACCACCACAAACUACUGUGGAACCUGGACCCCUGGGAUGUAGCCUCUCUUGCGAGUCAGGAAGAGAUGGUAGAAUAGAAACAUGGGGAGAUGGCCUGUCGAACCAGAAAGUAGUUUCCUCUACCACACAGGAGUGAGCAAAUUGAAUUGAUCUCGAAGGCUUUUUUUUUAUUAUCAUGAUGAUUCUACGAGGGGGUAGGUUAUACAUUUGUGGCGCGCUAGCAAGUGCUAAAUAAGUCUAUCGUGUAUUAGUUCAGUUGUGGUUUCAAAGUUUCAUGCUUCAUAGUUUUUUAAUUGACAUUCUCUUAGUUCAGUUUGAGUGGCAGUAUAAAAAGUUGACCGCCCUUGCCAAGGCUCUUUAUUGAUGCCU
Molecule: long non-coding RNA, 3284 nt
Organism: Lolium rigidum
Lineage: Eukaryota; Viridiplantae; Streptophyta; Magnoliopsida; Poales; Poaceae
Exons: 2
Source: RefSeq, a predicted model, not a curated record